CCUACGGGUGGCAGCAGUGAGGAAUAUUGGUCAAUGGGCGCGAGCCUGAACCAGCCAAGUCGCGUGAGGGAAGACGGUCCUAUGGAUUGUAAACCUCUUUUGUCGGGGAGCAAAAGACGCCACGCGUGGCGUUCCGAGAGUACCCGAAGAAAAAGCAUCGGCUAACUACGUGCCAGCAGCCGCGGUAAUACGUAGGGGGCAAGCGUUAUCCGGAUUUACUGGGUGUAAAGGGAGCGUAGACGGUUACGCAAGUCUGGAGUGAAAGGCGGGGGCCCAACCCCCGGACUGCUUUGGAAACUGUAUAACUGGAGUGCAGGAGAGGUAAGUGGAAUUCCUAGUGUAGCGGUGAAAUGCGUAGAUAUUAGGAGGAACACCAGUGGCGAAGGCGGCUUACUGGACUGUAACUGACGUUGAGGCUCGAAAGCGUGGGGAGCAAACAGGAUUAGAUACCCGGGUAGUC
RNAcentral lists this ribosomal RNA (460 nucleotides) under uncultured bacterium. RNAcentral's name for it is "partial 16S ribosomal RNA". It matches the Rfam family "Bacterial small subunit ribosomal RNA", at positions 338 to 795 of the family's 1533-position model. The record is from RNAcentral.